AAAGUUCUCAACUGUAUAUUCUUCCUUAAGGUCCUCAACAUUGUCUGCUUCAAUACCCUUUUUUUAGCAAUUUUACAUCAAUUUCAUCUGAAUCCAAAUCCCCGCUUGAAUAAUUAUCCAACGUCUCUCUUCCACAAACCUGCAUUAUAAAAGUAAAAAACCAACUUUUAAUACUUAAAAGUGACUUUUAUCUCCUAAUCAAUGUUCUCACAAAAUUAAUAUCAUACGUACCAAAGAAAUGGAAUGAUUCGGAGAUAUGGACUGAUCCAUGGUGAUGUCUGGUGUUGACUGUGUGGAUGAUGGAGGGUGGCACCUGUGAGAAAAUGGUGAAAAUGAUAAAGUGGUAAAGGUGUGAGAGUGUUUCUGCCAAAAAGAG
Molecule: long non-coding RNA, 376 nt
Filed under: Actinidia chinensis (golden kiwifruit)
Lineage: Eukaryota; Viridiplantae; Streptophyta; Magnoliopsida; Ericales; Actinidiaceae
Description: long non-coding RNA (ACHI_LNC006957)
Source: RNAcentral